Molecule: ribosomal RNA, 317 nt
Filed under: uncultured bacterium
Lineage: Bacteria
Description: bacterial SSU rRNA
Rfam family: Bacterial small subunit ribosomal RNA
Source: RNAcentral
GAUGAACGCUGGCGGCGUGCUUAACACAUGCAAGUCGAACGAAGCACCUUGAUUUCUUCGGAUUGAUAGGUGACUGAGUGGCGGACGGGUGAGUAACGCGUGGGUAACCUGCCUCAUACAGGGGGACAACAGUUGGAAACGACUGCUAAUACCGCAUAACACAACGAGACCGCAUGAUCUUGUUGUCAAAGCUUUAUGUGCUGGAAGAUGGCCUCGCGUCUGAUUAGCUAGUUGGUGGGGUAACGGCCUACCAAGGCGACGAUCAGUAGCCGGUCUGAGAGGAUGAACGGCCACAUUGGGACUGAGAUACGGCCCAG